RNAcentral lists this ribosomal RNA (1330 nucleotides) under Bacillus pumilus. Its description in RNAcentral is "bacterial SSU rRNA". It matches the Rfam family "Bacterial small subunit ribosomal RNA", at positions 36 to 1350 of the family's 1533-position model. Lineage: Bacteria; Bacillati; Bacillota; Bacilli; Caryophanales; Bacillaceae. The record is from RNAcentral.
CUGGCGGCGUGCCUAAUACAUGCAAGUCGAKCGGACAGAAGGGAGCUUGCUCCCGGAUGUUAGCGGCGGACGGGUGAGUAACACGUGGGUAACCUGCCUGUAAGACUGGGAUAACUCCGGGAAACCGGAGCUAAUACCGGAUAGUUCCUUGAACCGCAUGGUUCAAGGAUGAAAGACGGUUUCGGCUGUCACUUACAGAUGGACCCGCGGCGCAUUAGCUAGUUGGUGGGGUAAUGGCUCACCAAGGCGACGAUGCGUAGCCGACCUGAGAGGGUGAUCGGCCACACUGGGACUGAGACACGGCCCAGACUCCUACGGGAGGCAGCAGUAGGGAAUCUUCCGCAAUGGACGAAAGUCUGACGGAGCAACGCCGCGUGAGUGAUGAAGGUUUUCGGAUCGUAAAGCUCUGUUGUUAGGGAAGAACAAGUGCGAGAGUAACUGCUCGCACCUUGACGGUACCUAACCAGAAAGCCACGGCUAACUACGUGCCAGCAGCCGCGGUAAUACGUAGGUGGCAAGCGUUGUCCGGAAUUAUUGGGCGUAAAGGGCUCGCAGGCGGUUUCUUAAGUCUGAUGUGAAAGCCCCCGGCUCAACCGGGGAGGGUCAUUGGAAACUGGGAAACUUGAGUGCAGAAGAGGAGAGUGGAAUUCCACGUGUAGCGGUGAAAUGCGUAGAGAUGUGGAGGAACACCAGUGGCGAAGGCGACUCUCUGGUCUGUAACUGACGCUGAGGAGCGAAAGCGUGGGGAGCGAACAGGAUUAGAUACCCUGGUAGUCCACGCCGUAAACGAUGAGUGCUAAGUGUUAGGGGGUUUCCGCCCCUUAGUGCUGCAGCUAACGCAUUAAGCACUCCGCCUGGGGAGUACGGUCGCAAGACUGAAACUCAAAGGAAUUGACGGGGGCCCGCACAAGCGGUGGAGCAUGUGGUUUAAUUCGAAGCAACGCGAAGAACCUUACCAGGUCUUGACAUCCUCUGACAACCCUAGAGAUAGGGCUUUCCCUUCGGGGACAGAGUGACAGGUGGUGCAUGGUUGUCGUCAGCUCGUGUCGUGAGAUGUUGGGUUAAGUCCCGCAACGAGCGCAACCCUUGAUCUUAGUUGCCAGCAUUCAGUUGGGCACUCUAAGGUGACUGCCGGUGACAAACCGGAGGAAGGUGGGGAUGACGUCAAAUCAUCAUGCCCCUUAUGACCUGGGCUACACACGUGCUACAAUGGACAGAACAAAGGGCUGCAAGACCGCAAGGUUUAGCCAAUCCCAUAAAUCUGUUCUCAGUUCGGAUCGCAGUCUGCAACUCGACUGCGUGAAGCUGGAAUCGCUAGUAAUCGCGGAUC